UUAAGCGACUAAGCGUACACGGUGGAUGCCCUGGCAGUCAGAGGCGAUGAAGGACGUGCUAAUCUGCGAUAAGCGUCGGUAAGGUGAUAUGAACCGUUAUAACCGGCGAUUUCCGAAUGGGGAAACCCAGUGUGAUUCGUCACACUAUCAUUAACUGAAUCCAUAGGUUAAUGAGGCGAACCGGGGGAACUGAAACAUCUAAGUACCCCGAGGAAAAGAAAUCAACCGAGAUUCCCCCAGUAGCGGCGAGCGAACGGGGAGCAGCCCAGAGCCUGAAUCAGUGUGUGUGUUAGUGGAAGCGUCUGGAAAGGCGCGCGAUACAGGGUGACAGCCCCGUACACAAAAAUGCACAUGCUGUGAGCUCGAUGAGUAGGGCGGGACACGUGGUAUCCUGUCUGAAUAUGGGGGGACCAUCCUCCAAGGCUAAAUACUCCUGACUGACCGAUAGUGAACCAGUACCGUGAGGGAAAGGCGAAAAGAACCCCGGCGAGGGGAGUGAAAAAGAACCUGAAACCGUGUACGUACAAGCAGUGGGAGCACGCUUAGGCGUGUGACUGCGUACCUUUUGUAUAAUGGGUCAGCGACUUAUAUUCUGUAGCAAGGUUAACCGAAUAGGGGAGCCGAAGGGAAACCGAGUCUUAACUGGGCGUUAAGUUGCAGGGUAUAGACCCGAAACCCGGUGAUCUAGCCAUGGGCAGGUUGAAGGUUGGGUAACACUAACUGGAGGACCGAACCGACUAAUGUUGAAAAAUUAGCGGAUGACUUGUGGCUGGGGGUGAAAGGCCAAUCAAACCGGGAGAUAGCUGGUUCUCCCCGAAAGCUAUUUAGGUAGCGCCUCGUGAAUUCAUCUCCGGGGGUAGAGCACUGUUUCGGCAAGGGGGUCAUCCCGACUUACCAACCCGAUGCAAACUGCGAAUACCGGAGAAUGUUAUCACGGGAGACACACGGCGGGUGCUAACGUCCGUCGUGAAGAGGGAAACAACCCAGACCGCCAGCUAAGGUCCCAAAGUCAUGGUUAAGUGGGAAACGAUGUGGGAAGGCCCAGACAGCCAGGAUGUUGGCUUAGAAGCAGCCAUCAUUUAAAGAAAGCGUAAUAGCUCACUGGUCGAGUCGGCCUGCGCGGAAGAUGUAACGGGGCUAAACCAUGCACCGAAGCUGCGGCAGCGACGCUGAUGCGUUGUUGGGUAGGGGAGCGUUCUGUAAGCCUGUGAAGGUGUGCUGUGAGGCAUGCUGGAGGUAUCAGAAGUGCGAAUGCUGACAUAAGUAACGAUAAAGCGGGUGAAAAGCCCGCUCGCCGGAAGACCAAGGGUUCCUGUCCAACGUUAAUCGGGGCAGGGUGAGUCGACCCCUAAGGCGAGGCCGAAAGGCGUAGUCGAUGGGAAACAGGUUAAUAUUCCUGUACUUGGUGUUACUGCGAAGGGGGGACGGAGAAGGCUAUGUUGGCCGGGCGACGGUUGUCCCGGUUUAAGCGUGUAGGCUGGUUUUCCAGGCAAAUCCGGAAAAUCAAGGCUGAGGCGUGAUGACGAAGCACUACGGUGCUGAAGCAACAAAUGCCCUGCUUCCAGGAAAAGCCUCUAAGCAUCAGGUAACAUCAAAUCGUACCCCAAACCGACACAGGUGGUCAGGUAGAGAAUACCAAGGCGCUUGAGAGAACUCGGGUGAAGGAACUAGGCAAAAUGGUGCCGUAACUUCGGGAGAAGGCACGCUGAUAUGUAGGUGAAGUCCCUUGCGGAUGGAGCUGAAAUCAGUCGAAGAUACCAGCUGGCUGCAACUGUUUAUUAAAAACACAGCACUGUGCAAACACGAAAGUGGACGUAUACGGUGUGACGCCUGCCCGGUGCCGGAAGGUUAAUUGAUGGGGUCAGCGCAAGCGAAGCUCUUGAUCGAAGCCCCGGUAAACGGCGGCCGUAACUAUAACGGUCCUAAGGUAGCGAAAUUCCUUGUCGGGUAAGUUCCGACCUGCACGAAUGGCGUAAUGAUGGCCAGGCUGUCUCCACCCGAGACUCAGUGAAAUUGAACUCGCUGUGAAGAUGCAGUGUACCCGCGGCAAGACGGAAAGACCCCGUGAACCUUUACUAUAGCUUGACACUGAACAUUGAGCCUUGAUGUGUAGGAUAGGUGGGAGGCUUAGAAGUGUGGACGCCAGUCUGCAUGGAGCCGACCUUGAAAUACCACCCUUUAAUGUUUGAUGUUCUAACGUUGACCCGUAAUCCGGGUUGCGGACAGUGUCUGGUGGGUAGUUUGACUGGGGCGGUCUCCUCCUAAAGAGUAACGGAGGAGCACGAAGGUUGGCUAAUCCUGGUCGGACAUCAGGAGGUUAGUGCAAUGGCAUAAGCCAGCUUGACUGCGAGCGUGACGGCGCGAGCAGGUGCGAAAGCAGGUCAUAGUGAUCCGGUGGUUCUGAAUGGAAGGGCCAUCGCUCAACGGAUAAAAGGUACUCCGGGGAUAACAGGCUGAUACCGCCCAAGAGUUCAUAUCGACGGCGGUGUUUGGCACCUCGAUGUCGGCUCAUCACAUCCUGGGGCUGAAGUAGGUCCCAAGGGUAUGGCUGUUCGCCAUUUAAAGUGGUACGCGAGCUGGGUUUAGAACGUCGUGAGACAGUUCGGUCCCUAUCUGCCGUGGGCGCUGGAGAACUGAGGGGGGCUGCUCCUAGUACGAGAGGACCGGAGUGGACGCAUCACUGGUGUUCGGGUUGUCAUGCCAAUGGCACUGCCCGGUAGCUAAAUGCGGAAGAGAUAAGUGCUGAAAGCAUCUAAGCACGAAACUUGCCCCGAGAUGAGUUCUCCCUGACUCCUUGAGAGUCCUGAAGGAACGUUGAAGACGACGACGUUGAUAGGCCGGGUGUGUAAGCGCAGCGAUGCGUUGAGCUAACCGGUACUAAUGAACCGUGAGGCUUAACCUU
This 2902-nucleotide ribosomal RNA is filed under the name Escherichia coli. RNAcentral describes it as "bacterial LSU rRNA". It matches the Rfam family "Bacterial large subunit ribosomal RNA". Lineage: Bacteria; Pseudomonadati; Pseudomonadota; Gammaproteobacteria; Enterobacterales; Enterobacteriaceae. The record is from RNAcentral.